RNAcentral lists this ribosomal RNA (409 nucleotides) under bacterium. RNAcentral describes it as "partial 16S ribosomal RNA". It matches the Rfam family "Bacterial small subunit ribosomal RNA", at positions 355 to 776 of the family's 1533-position model. The record is from RNAcentral.
UGGGGAAUAUUGCACAAUGGGCGAAAGCCUGAUGCAGCGACGCCGCGUGAGGGAUGACGGCCUUCGGGUUGUAAACCUCUUUCAGCAGGGACGAAGCGCAAGUGACGGUACCUGCAGAAGAAUCACCGGCUAACUACGUGCCAGCAGCCGCGGUAAUACGUAGGGUGCAAGCGUUGUCCGGAAUUACUGGGCGUAAAGAGUUCGUAGGCGGUUUGUCGCGUCGUUUGUGAAAACCAGCAGCGCAACAGCUGGCUUGCAGGCGAUACGGGCAGACUUGAGGAGUGCAGGGGAGACUGGAAUUCCUGGGGUAGCGGUGAAAUGCGCAGAUAUCAGGAGGAACACCGGUGGCGAAGGCGGGUCUCUGGGCAGUAACUGACGCUGAGGAACGAAAGCGUGGGUAGCGAACAGG